RNAcentral lists this ribosomal RNA (478 nucleotides) under uncultured bacterium. RNAcentral describes it as "bacterial SSU rRNA". It matches the Rfam family "Bacterial small subunit ribosomal RNA", at positions 19 to 518 of the family's 1533-position model. The record is from RNAcentral.
CUGGCUCAGGACGAACGCUGGCGGCAUGCCUAACACAUGCAAGUCGAACGGGGGUAGCAAUACCCUAGUGGCGAACGGGUGAGUAACACAUAAGCAAUCUGCCCUUCACAGGGGGAUAACAGCGGGAAACUGCUGCUAAUACCGCAUAAGACCACGGUACCGCAUGGUACAGGGGUAAAAACGAAUCAGUGGUGAAGGAUGAGCUUAUGUCCCAUUAGCUAGUUGGUGAGAUAACAGCCCACCAAGGCGACGAUGGGUAGCCGACCUGAGAGGGUGAUCGGCCACACUGGAACUGAGACACGGCCCAGACUCCUACGGGAGGCAGCAGUGGGGAAUAUUGGGCAAUGGAAGGAAACUCUUACCCAGCAAUGCCGCGUGAGUGAAGAAGGUCUUCGGAUUGUAAAGCUCUUUGAUUGGGGACGAAGAAAGUGACGGUACCCAAAGAACAAGCCCCGGCUAACUACGUGCCAGCCGCCGC